RNAcentral lists this ribosomal RNA (501 nucleotides) under uncultured bacterium. RNAcentral describes it as "partial 16S ribosomal RNA". It matches the Rfam family "Bacterial small subunit ribosomal RNA", at positions 29 to 523 of the family's 1533-position model. The record is from RNAcentral.
AUUGAACGCUGGCGGCAUGCCUUACACAUGCAAGUCGAACGGCAGCACGGGUGCUUGCACCUGGUGGCGAGUGGCGAACGGGUGAGUAAUACAUCGGAACGUACCUUAUCGUGGGGGAUAACGCAGCGAAAGCUGUGCUAAUACCGCAUACGCCCUGAGGGGGAAAGCGGGGGAUCGAAAGACCUCGCGCGAUUAGAGCGGCCGAUGCCUGAUUAGCUUGUUGGUGGGGUAAAAGCCCACCAAGGCGACGAUCAGUAGCUGGUCUGAGAGGACGAUAAGCCACACUGGGAAUGAGACACGGCCCAGACUCCUACGGGAGGCAGCAGUGGGGAAUUUUGGACAAUGGGGGCAACCCUGAUCCAGCAAUGCCGCGUGAGUGAAGAAGGCCUUCGGGUUGUAAAGCUCUUUUGUCAGGGAAGAAACACCGGCUCUAACACAGUCCGGGAAUGACGGUACCUGAAGAAUAAGCACCGGCUAACUACGUGCCAGCAGCCGCGGUAA